UCGCCCAGCCGUGCCCGGCGCGCUAAGGGGACGUGCGAGGGGGCCGGGAGAGCCUCUCCCGGGCUGCGUGCCCCGGGUUCGCGCGGCGGGGCGCCCGGGCCCCCUCCCAGGCCCCCUCCCAGGCCCCCUCCCAGGCCCCAGCGCGGUGCAGCGCCCCAGCAGUCAGGCGGGAGCGGUGCGCCCGCCUCCGGGCCGGACGGGUUUCGUAAUCGCGUCGCCGCCGUUUCCGCCGAGAGCCAGCCCCACCUCUGCCGGCCCGCCCUCGGCUCCCCCGCCGCGCCGCGGAGCCAGCCCGGGAAGCCCACGGCGGCGGGCCCGGAGCGGGAGCCCCCCCGCCCCCGCUGCAGCCGCGCGCCUCGACGCUGGAGCCCCGGCAGGUUCUGGGUCUGAAGAAGACAUAACCCUGGUGCCUGCCUGCUUCCCUGCUGUGGCCCUGCUUGUCCCUCAGGGGCUGAGACGCUGACUGACCUUCACUGCCCAGCCCAGGGUACCUGGGACCCCACCAUCUCUAGGCCCGUCCAGCUGUUGUUACACUCCAGGGGCUGAGGAGUGAGGAGUUAAGGCACCAGAGUGAAAGCCCUCUGGGGCCUCAAGCAGAGGAGUGAAACUGGAACCAUCGGGGAACAUGAGUGAAUUUUGGCACAAACUGGGUUGCUGUGUGGUAGAGAAACCCCAGCCGAAGAAGAAACGGAGACGAAUUGACCGGACCAUGAUUGGGGAACCAAUGAAUUUUGUCCAUCUGACUCACAUUGGCUCGGGGGAGAUGGGUGCCGGAGAUGGACUUGCCAUGACAGGUGCAGUUCAGGAGCAGAUGAGAUCCAAGGGAAACCGAGACAGGCCAUGGAGCAAUUCUAGGGGAUUGUAGCUCCAACUGAAAUGGUUCUGCUGUCUGAAGCCUCCACCACAUGUCCAGCCCAAAAGAGAUGCUGCCUCUCCUGAAACCGUGACCCCAAGGCUCUUCUUUUCCCUAUCUGCCUGUUAGUGCCUCAGAAGGCUUGGGGGCUGGACUCCCUCUAUUCCCUCUGGCUGUAGCCCCUCCUGGAGAUGGGGUCAAGGCAGCAGGACUGACCAAGUGACUACUGGUUGGCCAGAGGAGCUCAGCUGAAACCCUGGACACUCUCAGAUCUGAGAUAGGAGUUUUCUGGGAACCUGGGAUGCAUUCCCUUCUCCUGAAUGACGGUCUAGGUGCCAUCUGUUUUUAAACUCUUAACCUGGAACUCCUUAAAUAGGGUAGGUGGGUGAGGUUACCAAAGCUGAAGCCGGCUUUGCUGAGAAUCUCCUUACCUCCCUGGCCUUCUCCUUUUUCCUCCUGGGAUGAACUGAAGCAGACGUCAAGCAGGGGGUAGGAGGUUGACCACUGCCUAGUCUACUCUUUGUCUUUAGAUCUCAGACCUUAAGCUCACAGUCCUUCAAUAUCUUUGCCACUACCAGCUCUUUCUCUAUUUGGCCUCUAAAUUACCCCCUUCUUCUUCUACCUCUACCCUUAAUCCCAUCCCCAUUACAAACCUUAUUGUUUCCCAUUGAUUAAGAGCUAAAAGUAAGAAGUGGAUCUUAACCUGAUAGUAUCCCGUUUAAGUCUUGGAGACCUGGCCACCCUCUGCCAAUCUCCCUGCUGGUCCAGGUGAGGAGGAAGAGGGAUCUGGAGAGAAACCCAGAAUACUCCAAAACUAGACUCAGAGUGGACUUCCUAACCAUUGAGGAUCAGAGGGGUGACAGGUUGAAACAAUCUCUGAGUUUAGGGAUCUUAAGAUCCUCACAGCAUGGGAGCAGGGGCACCUUUAGAGAAAGGAUUCUCAACCUGGGCACAUAUGACAUUUGAGUUAAAUAAUUCUUUGUAAUGGAGGGGGACUGUCCUAUGUAUUAUAGGAUGUUCAGUAGUGUAUCUGGCCAACCAUAGUUAUGACAACCAAAAAUGUCCCCAGAUAUUACCAAGUGUCUCCUAGGAGGCAAAAUCACUGCCAGUUGAGAGCCACUUCUCUAGAGUCAAGGUAUUUUUCUCUAAAGCGUUUUCCCCACUCUACUGCCGUCCCAUUAUUCAUCCUAAGCCUGAGCCAUAGAUGAACCAGGUCCUCUUGCAAAGUAGGCUCAGUAGGGCUACACAUAUCUCUAGAACAGUUCUUUAUUCAGUGUGUUUCUUGUGCUUGCAUGGGUUCAUGUCUCUGAUGAAUGUGUAUGAUGCUUCUCCAUUCUUGUUUAGAGGAGGGGUUCCUGCAGUGUGUAGGUGUGAACAGAGUAUGGUGAGAUUGAGAAAGGGAGAAAAAGCAGUAGAGCCACAGACACCCAGGAUUAUCGUCUGCAAACUUUAAACUCUACCAGACACAAAUAAGACUCAGGGAGUUUUGUCUGAAGACCAGGUCCCACUCCCCACCAGGCCAAAGAGUCUGCUUUAGGUGGGAAAAUAAUGCAGGAGCAGGGUCUUUAGGCAGUUUGUUUUCUCAGGGGUUUUUUCUUCUGGCCCCUUCCUUGCACGGUGGUUAGAAAGGCAGAACAAGACUGGUGAGCUCCUGCCUGCUUGGAGAUGGGUAUGGGGUGGGGGGUGUCUCUCAUUAGCUCAGUAACAAGAUAAACAGCCUGUUUGAUGGCGAUGGGGUCAGGAAGGUGGGAACUAGGAUCCACUCUGCUGAGUCCACCAUCCAUCCAGUUUGCCCCACCUAUAGUGACAGGUUCUAAUUUCAUUCCAACUUCAGUAUAUUUGCUGCCACCACUUUUCAGGGUCUAAGGUCGGUCAUACAUUCCCAGUUUACUCUGUUCUAAUCUAGCUAGUUGUUCUGAAAGUAGCUCAUUUUGUUGUCCUAAAGUAGCUUAAUAGCCUAAGGGUUAUAUUCAAUCUGAAGGGUUAACAGGAUAGGGUAGAAAGACAGGAGGACUCGAGGAUUGUCUGGUCACCCUGAUCUUCCACCUUAUUCUAAUGCCUUUUCUUUGGACACAGCCUUUGGUGUUCUCUUGCCUUUAGCUACCUUUUCUAACAUGUAUGCUACCAUCACUUUAACAAUAUUUGAGAGUGAUGGAAAUGGGUUUGAGAGUCAUAAUUUAUAUUAAAAAUGUGUUGGACUUUUAAAUACAUUUUUCAAAUAAAAAAAAAGUUUAAACAAAAU
This 3095-nucleotide long non-coding RNA is filed under the name Canis lupus familiaris (dog). RNAcentral describes it as "lncRNA (ENSCAFG00000059042.1)". The record is from RNAcentral. Lineage: Eukaryota; Metazoa; Chordata; Mammalia; Carnivora; Canidae.